This 253-nucleotide ribosomal RNA is filed under the name uncultured bacterium. RNAcentral describes it as "partial 16S ribosomal RNA". It matches the Rfam family "Bacterial small subunit ribosomal RNA", at positions 524 to 776 of the family's 1533-position model. The record is from RNAcentral.
UACGAAGGACCCGAGCGUUAUCCGGAUUCAUUGGGUUUAAAGGGUGCGUAGGCGGUAUAGUAAGUCAGUGGUGAAAUCCUGCAGCUUAACUGCAGAACUGCCAUUGAUACUGCUAAACUUGAGUACAAAUGAUGUGGGCGGAAUAUGACAUGUAGCGGUGAAAUGCUUAGAUAUGUCAUAGAACACCGAUUGCGAAGGCAGCUCACAAAAUUGUUACUGACGCUGAGGCACGAAAGCAUGGGGAUCGAACAGG